This 407-nucleotide ribosomal RNA is filed under the name uncultured bacterium. Its description in RNAcentral is "partial 16S ribosomal RNA". It matches the Rfam family "Bacterial small subunit ribosomal RNA", at positions 30 to 526 of the family's 1533-position model. The record is from RNAcentral.
AUUGCACGCUGGCGGCAGGCCUAACACAUGCAAGUCGAGCGGAGCGGCGGACGGGUGAGUAAUGCAUAGGAAUCUGCCUGGUAGUGCGGGAUAACGUCCUGAAACGGGCGCUAAUACCGCAUACUAUCAGAUGAGCCUAGGUCGGAUUCGCUAGUUGGUGGGGUAAAGGCCUACCAAGGCGAUGAUCCGUAACUGGUCUGCGAGGAUGAUCUGUCACACUUGAACUGAGACACGUGCCAGACGCCGACGGGAGGCAGCGGUGGGGAUUAUUGGACAAUGGGGGAAAGCCUGAUCCAGCCAUGCCGCGUGGGUGAAGUAGGUCUUCGGAUGGUAAAGCACUUUAAGUUGGGAGGCGUUACCAACAGAAUGAGCACCGGCAAACUUCGUGCCAGCAGCCGCGGUAAUAC